GCAGGACAGGCCCUUGUUGGGAAAGAGGAGGAGGCAGCCGCUUUUCAAAAUCUGGUGGGGUGGGGUGCAGAAGUGGGGCAAGAUGUUAAAGCUCCAAAGGGUUUUUCUUUUUUUCCCCCUGCUUAAGACGGAGAAGAGGGCAGUGCCGGGCUAGGGUAGAUAAGGAGCUUCAACCCUCCUCUACCUCUAGACCCUAAAAUAAGGUUGGGGUGGGGCUGGGGGGUGCCGUACACGCCCUCGCAGCUCGCUCAUGUUGGCGGGGGGGGGGGGGGGGGGGGGGGNNNNNNNNNNNNNNNNNNNNNNNNNNNNNNNNNNNNNNNNNCGCCCGGAUCCAAGACUUCUCCAGGUCAUGAGCGUGUGAAGGCCCGAGGAGCGUCAGCCACCGGGCAGCAAAAAGAGGCGGCCAGCCGACUCCUGCCUUUCGGCCGAAUGACCCACCGCUGCCGCGCCGCCACCUCUGCACCUGCCUGGCUGAGGAAAGGAAAAGAUUUCCGGGGGUUUGGAAGAAGCCAAAUCUUCCGGCUUGCCCUUGGGGCCCGCCCUAAAGAGCGCAGGAAGCCCAGUGGGUAUGUGGCGGUCGCCCUACGAGUCUUGCAGGGAAAGUUCGCUCUGCAGACGCGAGAGAAAAAACAACCACCCUCUGCCGCUUGGCUCCACAAGAACCAUGCAGCGAAAACGCAGAGGUCAGCCCCUCUCCAGGAUUCAGCCCAUCUUGGAUUCAGCUUCUUCGGCCGCACAAACUCCCAAGCUCUGAGAACACGCAGCGCACCCCGCGCGCCUCGCAGCGAAGGCACCCGGGCCACACUGCUGAGUUCUCCGCGUGGCGAAUGCGCGUCGCUUAAGGAAAGCAAUUGA
This 855-nucleotide long non-coding RNA is filed under the name Capra hircus (goat). RNAcentral's name for it is "lncRNA (ENSCHIG00010000977.1)". Lineage: Eukaryota; Metazoa; Chordata; Mammalia; Artiodactyla; Bovidae. The record is from RNAcentral.